This 429-nucleotide ribosomal RNA is filed under the name Bacteroidota bacterium. Its description in RNAcentral is "Bacteroidetes bacterium partial 16S ribosomal RNA". It matches the Rfam family "Bacterial small subunit ribosomal RNA", at positions 355 to 776 of the family's 1533-position model. The record is from RNAcentral. Lineage: Bacteria; Pseudomonadati; Bacteroidota.
UAGGGAAUCUUCCGCAAUGGACGCAAGUCUGACGGAGCAACGCCGCGUGAGUGAAGAAGGAUUUCGGUUCGUAAAACUCUGUUGUUAGAGAAGAACAGCGCAUAGAGUAACUGUUAUGCGUGUGACGGUAUCUAACCAGAAAGCCACGGCUAACUACGUGCCAGCAGCCGCGGUAAUACGUAGGUGGCAAGCGUUGUCCGGAUUUAUUGGGCGUAAAGCGAGCGCCGGCAGUCAAUUAAGUCUGAUGUGAAAGCCCCCGGCUCGACCGGGGAGGGUCAAUGGAAACUGGUGGACUUGAGUGCAGAAGAGGAGAGUGGAAUUCCAUGUGUAGCAGUGAAAUGCGUAGAUAUAUGGAGGAACACCAGUGGCGAAGGCGACUCUCUGGUCUGUAACUGACGCUGAGGUUCGAAAGCGUGGGUAGCAAACAGG